AGGACGAACGCUGGCGGCGUGCUUAACACAUGCAAGUCGAACGGAAAGGCCCUGCUUUUGUGGGGUGCUCGAGUAGCGAACGGGUGAGUAACACGUGAGUAACCUGCCCUUGACUUUGGGAUAACUUCAGGAAACUGGGGCUAAUACCGGAUAGGAGCUCCUGCUGCAUGGGUGGGGGUUGGAAAGUUUCGGCGGUUGGGGAUGGACUCGCGGCUUAUCAGCUUGUUGGUGGGUAGUGGCUUACCAAGGCUUUGACGGGUAGCCGGCCUGAGAGGGUGACCGGCCACGAGUUGGGACUGAGAUACGGCCAGACUCCGUACGGGAGCAGCGAGGUAGGGAAUAGUUGACCAGAAGUGGGCGGAAGCCGUGAGUGCAACGACCGACCGGCCGGUCGG
RNAcentral lists this ribosomal RNA (395 nucleotides) under uncultured soil bacterium. RNAcentral describes it as "bacterial SSU rRNA". It matches the Rfam family "Bacterial small subunit ribosomal RNA", at positions 26 to 425 of the family's 1533-position model. The record is from RNAcentral.